RNAcentral lists this ribosomal RNA (273 nucleotides) under uncultured bacterium. RNAcentral describes it as "partial 16S ribosomal RNA". It matches the Rfam family "Bacterial small subunit ribosomal RNA", at positions 82 to 354 of the family's 1533-position model. The record is from RNAcentral.
CUUCCGCCGGCGACCGGCGCACGGGUGAGUAACACGUAUGCAACCUGCCCCUGUCAGGGGGACAACCCGCCGAAAGGCGGGCUAAACCCGCGUACAUGCCACCGGGGCAUCCCGGAGGCAGGAAAGGCUUCGGCCGGACAGGGAUGGGCAUGCGGCGCAUUAGGCAGUAGGCGGGGUAACGGCCCACCGUGCCGACGAUGCGUAGGGGUUCUGAGAGGAAGGCCCCCCACACUGGUACUGAGACACGGACCAGACUCCUACGGGAGGCAGCAG